RNAcentral lists this ribosomal RNA (638 nucleotides) under uncultured bacterium. RNAcentral's name for it is "bacterial SSU rRNA". It matches the Rfam family "Bacterial small subunit ribosomal RNA", at positions 69 to 727 of the family's 1533-position model. The record is from RNAcentral.
CGGUUUGAAGUUCUUUAUGACUGAGUGGCGGACGGGUGAGUAACGCGUGGGUAACCUGCCUUGUACUGGGGGAUAGCAGCUGGAAACGGCUGGUAAUACCGCAUAAGCGCACAAUGUUGCAUGACAUGGUGUGAAAAACUCCGGUGGUAUAAGAUGGACCCGCGUCUGAUUAGCUAGUUGGUGAGAUAACAGCCCACCAAGGCGACGAUCAGUAGCCGACCUGAGAGGGUGACCGGCCACAUUGGGACUGAGACACGGCCCAGACUCCUACGGGAGGCAGCAGUGGGGAAUAUUGCACAAUGGAGGAAACUCUGAUGCAGCGACGCCGCGUGAGUGAAGAAGUAAUUCGUUAUGUAAAGCUCUAUCAGCAGGGAAGAUAGUGACGGUACCUGACUAAGAAGCUCCGGCUAAAUACGUGCCAGCAGCCGCGGUAAUACGUAUGGAGCAAGCGUUAUCCGGAUUUACUGGGUGUAAAGGGAGUGUAGGUGGCCAUGCAAGUCAGAAGUGAAAAUCCGGGGCUCAACCCCGGAACCGCUUUUGAAACUGUAAGGCUGGAGUGCAGGAGGGGUGAGUGGAAUUUCUAGUGUAGCGGUGAAAUGCGUAGAUAUUAGGAGGAACACCAGUGGCGAAGGCGGCUC